Molecule: ribosomal RNA, 253 nt
Filed under: uncultured bacterium
Lineage: Bacteria
Description: partial 16S ribosomal RNA
Rfam family: Bacterial small subunit ribosomal RNA
Source: RNAcentral
UACGUAUGGGGCAAGCGUUAUCCGGAUUUACUGGGUGUAAAGGGCGUGUAGCCGGGCUGACAAGUCAGAUGUGAAAUUCCGGGGCUCAACCCCGGACCUGCAUUUGAAACUGUUGGUCUUGAGUAUCGGAGAGGCAGGCGGAAUUCCUAGUGUAGCGGUGAAAUGCGUAGAUAUUAGGAGGAACACCAGUGGCGAAGGCGGCCUGCUGGACGACAACUGACGGUGAGGCGCGAAAGCGUGGGGAGCAAACAGG